GAAGGUGUUAGGCACCCAAAGCAUCCUAGGUACUCCUAGGGAGCCCUUUUCACAUUUGUUGUAAGGUUGUUGUUUUUUUUUUUUUUUUGAAAAUUUAUUUGUGCAAACAUGAUUGAAGGGAUGAGAAAAGAAUAUACAAAUUUAUUUACAUUUUGUGUUUGAAUGGAUGAACCCAUUGCCUACGUACCAUCUUAAAAAAAGAUUAGGAUCA
This 211-nucleotide long non-coding RNA is filed under the name Lathyrus oleraceus (garden pea). Its description in RNAcentral is "Pisum sativum (pea) long non-coding RNA (PSAT_LNC031639)". The record is from RNAcentral. Lineage: Eukaryota; Viridiplantae; Streptophyta; Magnoliopsida; Fabales; Fabaceae.